Molecule: long non-coding RNA, 577 nt
Organism: Oreochromis aureus
Lineage: Eukaryota; Metazoa; Chordata; Actinopteri; Cichliformes; Cichlidae
Source: Ensembl
GCUCAGCACCCCCAAAGCUCUGAUCCUAGAAUCGCCCCUGCAACAAUGUAAAUGAAACUGUUAGAGGGUUUGGUGGAAAGAAAAUAAUGAACCACAAUCUAGAACUGAUCCACAAAAAAAUGUAGGAAACUCCUCUUCAUGUUUAUAUUGUUCAUUACUUCCACAGUAAACUUUUAUCACACCAUCACUGAUGAGAAAGAGUGCUGGAUUAAAGGUAGAAACUGGAGCAGCUUGUCAGUAUGUUAAUAUGUCAAUGAGUGACUUUGUUUUCUUGUAUUUAGCUUUGUUGCCCCCAUGUCGACAUGUGUUUGAAGCUGAAGGUAGUUUGGUGAGUGGUGAAGCUGAGUUUUUGACCGAUCAGUUGAACUUCUGAUGAUGGACAAAUUGAAGCUUUCACUGAAAGCAUCUCACCAAUAAAUUACUACCAGAAACCGAGACACAAAAGCAGAAGAGGGACUGCCUUUACCAUUUUCUCUAAGUAAAUGAAAAUGAUUUGAGAUAAAAUAGAAACUGCUUCUUGUUGAUGAUAGAUAGCCCACAAUAUUCUGGAUUUGAGUAUAAAAAUAAAUUUUGGUUG